This 68-nucleotide transfer RNA is filed under the name Procetichthys kreffti. Its description in RNAcentral is "tRNA-Tyr". It matches the Rfam family "tRNA". Rfam says of the family: Transfer RNA (tRNA) molecules are approximately 80 nucleotides in length. Their secondary structure includes four short double-helical elements and three loops (D, anti-codon, and T loops). The record is from RNAcentral. Lineage: Eukaryota; Metazoa; Chordata; Actinopteri; Beryciformes; Cetomimidae.
GGUAAAGUGGCUGAGUAAAGCGGUGGAUUGUAGCCCCAUAGACAGAGGUUUAAGCCCUCUCUUUACCA